This is a non-coding RNA of Anas platyrhynchos (mallard), 2484 nucleotides long. The record is from RefSeq and is a predicted model, not a curated record. Lineage: Eukaryota; Metazoa; Chordata; Aves; Anseriformes; Anatidae.
UCGGGUCCUUAACAUACAAUGGUGCUAGCUCAGACCUAGGAAUCACCAGUCUUUAUCUUGUUCCCUGUCUCAAGUCCCCCCUUUUCUUGAGCCUAAGCAAAUUCUUUGGCUUAUUACAAUCCUUCUUGAUUAAAAGUUUUCAUUAAAUUCUUACCAGUUUUGACUUGGUGCUUGUUUCAGUUACACUUCCAGGUAUCAUAAUCUAGUCCUUCAUACAGCACCAAAAUGCACAUUGUACCACUACACAAGUCAAGACUACUACUAUUAAAAAGAAGAUCAGUAUUCCUCUAAAUGAUUGCUUAAGCCAAGAAAAGUUGGGUAACCAAAAGGUUAUUUUGUUGCAUAAUUCUCGAAAACCCCAGGAGGUGUCAUCUUGAAUUACCUUAUGUAAUCACCUUAGACUAAUCACCUUAUUACCGUAGUCUUUCCCCAAAUGUUUUCGUGCUCAGUCUCAAUUCCUCCUGCCUCAUUUACACACAUACAGCAACUAAUAUUGAUUAAAGUGCAUCCUUCCCCUUGGGAGGCAAAUAAAAGGUCUAGUGCCUAAAACAUUCUUCUUGAUUUGUUCUACUUGCUUGCACAAAACUGUAAGAUGUUGUUGCAAAUACUGGUUUCCUAAAUGUGUUAGAUCUUCUCCUUUGUCCGGCCUUUGGUAAGGCCUGCCAUCCAAUAUCUCCAAAGGGGCUUAGUUUGACCAAGUUUGCUCCUGGGGGAUGGAUGGAGCCCGUGGUAGGGAGCCAUGUGGGAGCAGUGCUUGAGGAGCUGCUGCCUUUGGCAGCCCCUGCAGGCUCACUUUGGGAAUCCCGUGUGAGGGAUGAAGUUCUGUGUUUUUUGUUUUUUGUUUUGUUUUGUUUUGUUUUUCUGAAGAAAGCGGGUGUUUAAGAAGGAAAUGCAGAGUUGCCUUUGUUUGUCACUCGAUGGUCUUGAGGUCUCUUCCAACGUAGACAUUCUGUGAUUCUGUGAAGUCACAAACGCCAAGGCGUCACACUGGCUGGCUCUGCAGCACAGAUGCCAGGAGUGCCGCUUGGCAUGGCGGCGGCGGCGCGGUGCCCCAGCCCCAGGCCCGUCCCAGCCCCAGCGCACGUCACCCUCCGCUCCCCCAUGGAGCCCCCCGCCGCCUCAGCAGCCCCGUGGCGGACGCCCCAUGGCGGAGCCGCCCCCGAGGAGAAGGAGCCUGCAGCCCUCUGCCCGCACCGCACCGCACCAAGCGCCGCGCAACGGCUGCCACCACCGUGGGGGCUCCUGGUGUGAGCGGCAAGCGGUGGCAAGGGGGGGCUGCGCUUCCUGAGUCGAGCUGCUGGACACCGGCUUGCCUGGGCAAUUGCCCAUGUUGCUGAGGAGGCAACAGAGCCAAAGCCCUUGGGGCUGAAGAUCCAGCACGGCUGGGGAGGCUUUGGCAUUUCUGCACAAUGCUGCUCAGUCCUGCUUGGGAGCCCAGCCUCAGGUGCGGAAUGAAGCCAAGCAAGCUCGAGGGAAACUGUGUGCUGGUAAGUUGUCAGUUCUUGCUUUCUUUUUCAUUCCUCACGCCUAAGAAAACCUAACUCUUUCAAGCACUUGUUUGAUGGACUUGAUUCUGGGUGUGCUCCUUAAGCUUGUUUGGCAGCUGUUGAACCCCGCUACACUUGCAGGAGACCUAUGCUGGAGUUGAUGCUUGCUGUGAUCAAGCGGUGUUCUUUUGCUCUUCUUUGCUUUGGUGAUGGCGGGUGAGGUUGCAAAGAGUUUUCAGGAGGAUUCUUCUUUUCCUUUGCAGAAUGCCAGACUGCGUAUUAGAGCUGAUCUUCAUCUCUGCUCGGAAAAGCUUCACGGGCCAAAAGAGAAUGGAGAUGAGGAAGGCAAUGGAGAAUGAUGAGGACUAUUUGCAGUCAGCACGCCAACUUCUGCCUUGGCUCUUCCCAUCAAGCCAGAGCAGUUUCUUGGCCUGCGCAACCUGCAGACUGACCUCUCGUGUGUAUCCGUGCUGGACUGAGGGUUUUAGGUGAACAAGAACCCUGAAACCAGCUGAAGCCAUAUCAGACAUGAAGCCAUAUCAGACAUAGUAAGGACAUGUGUCUGUGAGGAAGUAAUUCAGAGUGAUUCUCUGGUGUCCUUUGGACAGCUUUCCUCUGGUCCUCUGCACUAAGCAUCCCCAAGGGAUAUUUCAAAGCUCUCGGAAUGAUCUGUCAUUCUCUCUUCCACUGGAGUCUCCAUUAGAAAAGCGUGACUAUUCCUUGCCCAUGUGGAAAAGAAGUCCUCCUUGAGUUGUUUCUAAGCAAAACCUCUUUCUUGUGUUCUCUGGACAGAAACCACUUGGCUAGACAAACUCAAUCGUUGCAAAUGGAAGGAGUGGAACUGCUUCAGCACCGUGCUUCGUCUUCUAAGCAGAACUGUAAUGUAGGUGGGGACGUAGCAAGAGGACAUGGCCAAGCCAGGAAGUGAUGCUUCUCCCUGUUCUCCAUUGCAAUUUGUGAAAGAAAGGAGAAGAGAGGAGAAGAAAAAAGGAGAAGA